Non-coding RNA from Meleagris gallopavo (turkey), 6676 nucleotides. Lineage: Eukaryota; Metazoa; Chordata; Aves; Galliformes; Phasianidae. The record is from RefSeq and is a predicted model, not a curated record.
CCCGUAAACCGUUGACAACAUUGCACAGAUUAGUUGUUGUAGUUAGCUGAUACGUGUUUUAUGACUCCUUUUGUAACUCUCCAAGAGAGGAAAGAGAGCACAAGAAUGGAAGAACCAAUAUUUUUUUAAGCUGCUCUCAAAUCCUUUGAGUUAAGAAGCAAUCUUCUGUCUGCUUGAUCAGAAAAGCUUCAUUGUUGCUGCUAUUUUUCUUUUUCAAUUUUUUUUUUCCCCCUUAAAGGCAGCCUUAAUGUUUCCAAGUUUUGAUUACUGUGUCUUGUGGGGUUACUUCCAGGUCAUGGAGCUCUAAAGAAUAUAUGAACCGGAUUGUGAAGGAAAGGAGGGAAGCUUAAAUAUUAUUUUAUAGUGUGUAUGUAUAUAUGUAUAUAAUAUUAUAUAUAGUAUAUAAUAUAUACUCUUAUUUUCUAGCACUCAGAAGAGGAGGCAUGUUACGUCAUGGUUACAAAAGUGUAGUUUUAGGCAUGACUAAGUGACUGAGGUUUAAUGCAAAGGGGAUGAGGUGAGUAAGAAGAGAGAGGAACUGGUAUGCAAGGUGAGGGAAGUUACAUGUGAAUUUCUCAAUUUUAUUUGAAAGAUGAGAAAUAAAGACACAACAAUUUGUUGCUGACUCAUCUCUUCCAGCACAUAACCAAAGCCCUGAUACAUGAGAAGUAGGACUGUGUGUUGUAGUGGACCUCCUGCCCUAUCCUUGUUGGGCAGAGGGAGGGGACCUAAGAGAUGGGGAGGAAUGGAAACAAGUCUCAGCUCAGCAUCACAGGCAAACCCCCUCCCUUCCUACCUUAAUUCCCCACAGAGUGCGUGUGCUCUCCUGAACCAUGUGCUGGGGGCAUGCAUUCCACUUGGCAUCAUUUGUGAGAUUUAUGUUAAGAGAUUAAAAAAAAAAACAAAACAGAAAAAAUAUCUGAGAGGGAGAUUUUUCCUUCUUAACUUAAACAGCCUACAAGACAGCUGUUCAUGCUGCUAUGAUGGACGUGAGGUUCCCAAAGAACAGUGCAACGUGUUUAUGGCUGUUGCAGUUCUCAGCUGUCAGAGGGUCAGCCAAAGAACUGGUAUGAGCUGCACAAUCUCAGCCAAGGCUCCCAAGGGCGUGCUGAAAGACUGACUUGCUGCUAAUCUGUUUAUCCCUGCUCCCUGCUGAGGUAUCUGCAAUGGAGAACGGGUAUGCAAGAACUGGCUUCCAUUAAAGUUCCUAAAGAGGAAUUUAAAUAAUAGAAGAUUAAGAAUGCUUAAGCAACAAAAGAGGAUGUGAUUUCUCUAAUUCGCUGCUUGGUUUCAAAAGGACAGUGCUGGGAGAAAUUCAGGAUAUUUAGAGAAUAAAUCCCACUUCUGUCCUUAGCUUGGACAAGGGCAGGUUAUCAGGCUAGUUCUCAAAUAAGCCCAGGAUGUUGUUGCAGCCUUUGUGAUGAUUCUUGCUUUGGCACUCUGAAGUCAGUCCUGCACGUCCUUGCUGCUGAGCAGCCCACCAGGUUGUGUGUGACUUUGCAAGUGUGUUUCUUUGCUGCUGCUGUGAGGAGCAGGAGGUAAUUGUUGUGGCUUAGUGAGCUACUAUCUGUUAGGUGAGCUCUUCAACCAUUGCAAACAUGAAAGCUGUCGAAGUUUUUUUGGGGGUAGGGCGUUGUUUCUGCCCCCUGCCCACAGCUGCACUUUCUUGUUUAUCUGAGCUUACAAGAAAUUGAGUCAGGCUCCUCUGUUGCCCUACUUACUCUUACAGCAUGGGUGGGGAACAAUCAUUUUCAGGGUUUGCUUGAAACUCCCUACUCACAUCCUGUAGAGACCCUGCUUGCUGCACUGGAGAAAGUGAGUCAGGAGAGGCUGUUGAAGGAGAAGAGAGGAUGAUAAUUGCUUGAUCCAGCUGGGACCACGUUAGGUAUCAUUAGGUCUGCUUGUGGAGCUUGUGUCUCCUCCUUCCCUGCUCUUGAAGCAUUUAUUAUGUAUUACAUGCAUUCCCUUCUGGACAGGGGAGAGCUUGUGGGCAAGACCUGGUAUGAUUCAUCCAGCAGUAAAUGUAUCCAUACAGUUACUGUAUCCAGUGCUGUCCCAGUACCUGGCAAGAUCAUCUAGACAGUGAUACAAUAGAAAUAACUGGUGCUGUGCACUGGACCUUGAGAUGUGUGACUUGUGUUUUGAUGCUAAUGUAACUUGCUGGCCUGACUGUUCCUGGUUCCCAGGAAGCAUGUAUGAUAGUAAAGAUACGGUGAUGGAUGCCCAGUCUGAGACAGCCCCAUCAAGUACCAGAUUAUGACCAGGACCUGGCAUAGAGCCUGCCUAGGAGAACAAAUAAAGCCAUUCCACACAACUCCCACCUUUCUAUUAUGCUAGGAAACCUAAUUAAAAACCUUUCUAAGUAUACUUAUUAAGUACUUUUUAAGUACUUAUACGUAUUAAGUAUACUUUUUAAGUAUAAGUAGCAGAACCAUGAGUCUUUUAGGAGUUUUGUAAUUUCCACUCUUCUAGCUUGUCUAACAAAUUAGGAAAUAGAAAGCAUCAGAGAACCUGUAAAGGGGCUUGGAACCUUGUACCGAUGGCCCCCAACAGCAUUCACUCCUUCUGGUACCAGGCAGUUCAUCAAAGGGUGCAGGCUGUAUGAGGUGAUGUGAGCUCCUGUCUCUGUGUGCUAGUCCUGCAGGACGCUAGCCUUUAAAGGUCUAGGUGCCAUGUCAGCCGAAGUUAUUCACGCCACCACCAUCCUUAGACUUCAUGGAGAGCUAAGUGGACAGAAAUUCAGUGCUGCUUAUGGGAGGGAGCUAGAUGUGUUGGAGAGAAGGGUGGGAUGGUGAUGACUUGGCAGACCACAAGACUGCUGUGCUCAAGGCUGCUGUUUGUAACUGUUAGGUGUGAAUGAAGAGCAUACCCAAGAGCUGUACAACCACUGAAUUCUGUGAAAAAUCCUAAAGUGGGCACUUCGAUAGCAGCAGUUUCAUUUCUGUAUUUCAGCUCACUGCCUGUAAACCACGUUUAGCAUGUAACUUUAUAGAACACUGUGAAGCAAAGCGUGCUAAGUUUUUCACAGUACUCAUAGUGGAGUUACACCAAGCAUCAAGAGACUAACGAAACUGGGCCAGUUGUGAGUCUUGCCCUCUACCCACCCAUGGUCAGGGCAACUCAGCACACCUGGCUAUUCAGGGGGAGAGAAUAAGGUCAUAGGAACAGAAGACAUGGCUUAGAGAAAAGAAACCAACAUUUAUCUUAAAUCAUAGACUUCUAGUAACUUCAACUGUACAGCAAGUAUUGCUGUACAGACUUUUGAGAAACUUGACACUUCUUUCUUGUGAUCAAGUUGUCUCUUUUGCUAUCUUGAGACUUUUCUAGUGAUCUGCAUCUUUUGCAAGAUUGGUCCUGCUGCUAAACACUUUGUUUUUGCUCUUUAGGGGUAUGAACACCUUUCACAGAACUGCUUGUUAGCAACCUUGCAUAACUGGUUUCUCAGUUUGGUUUUUCUUUCACCCCUUUGACCCUUUUCAUUCUUUAACUUCCUUGGGGGGAGGAGUGAUUAGGGUGGAGGGAAAAAAAAAGCUACAUUGACCCUGUAGCUCUGCUUUCUAAAAGUGCUAUUUCCUGUGGUCUUUAAAAGCAUGUUGAAUAGAUUCUCCUACAGUCUUCUUUUGCUGAGUCUAAGUAGGUAAAUAGGAGCAGGUAGGCAGUGGAGCCCUGAGAGCUCAGAGCUGCUGAGUCAGUAUGACAGCAUCUGCUGGGAAUCCCUCCUUCCCCACACCACUGAAUAGGGUCAUGGUCUCCUUUGACCCUAUCAGCACUGCAAACAUAUCUCCAUUACAGAGACAGCUUUCCCUCUCACUACUCUUGUGUGCUGAACAGGGAUGGAUACCUCUUUAUGGAGAAGCAAGACUGAGCCACGAUGAAAGUUUUGACUCCCACCUGGAAUAUGCUGUAGAAGGGGCACACUUUAAACCCACUAGAUGUGUGAAUAGUGGAAAUUUAGACAAGAAUUGGUACCUGCAGAGGGCUGACCCUGAGCAGCUCUCCAGUACUCACCUAGCUGCUCCACUGCAACAGACUCAGGGGAGAAAAUAAAUGGAAAAGCUUGAGGGCUAGGGAAAAUUAACUUACUGCCUGUUAAAAUGGAUUGGAUAGUGAAAAACAAAAUAAACAACAGUUCUUCCCAAUCUGUAUUCCACUAUGCCCCUUCCCUCAUGUCUCUCCUACCUGGUGGGGUAGUGGGAUGGCAGCUCCGGUCUGAUACAGCUCCUUUCUUCUCUUCCUUUUUAUUUAUGCUUUCCCUCUGCAGCCCUUGGAAGGAGCCAUGUAGGAACAUCAGGACAAAGCUGCUCUCCCCAGGGGCUGCAGGAGAAUCUCUGCUCAGUGGCGCCAUUUUCUCUCACCUCAGUGCUGCAGAAUGGGCGCCAUUUUCUCUCCUCUCACCUCAGUGCUGUAAAGGGGCGCCAUUUUCUCUCCUCUCACCUUAGCGCUGCAGAGCGGGCGCCAUUUUCUCUCCUCUCACCUCAGUGCUGUAGAGCAGCACCAUUUUCUCUCCUCUCACCUCAGCGCUUCAGGUGUUUCUGCCACUUUUUCCCUCAACCCUCACUGCCUGGCAGAGCAUUUUGCACUUUCUUAAACACCUUUACCCAGAGCCCCACCAGCAUACUGCUGGGCUCAGCUGCAGCCUUGGUGUUUCCUGAGGGGUCUGGAACCUUCUGGAACCCUAUGGAAGCACCGACUAUCCACAGCCCUCAGUGGGCAUGGGCACCCAGCACCCUGCCUGAAAUAAAACCUGCAGCUUGCAAGGUUUGGGAAGCAGUGUUAAUAGGAGGGCAGUGCAGCCUCAUAGAGUGCUUUAAGUCUGGGACCUGAUGUAGAGUUGUGUGCUGAGGUAAAGCCCUGUGUCAGGCUGGGGAGAGCAGGCAGCAAAUGGAAGGAUCUGGAAAUGAUUGCUAAUGCGAAGAAAUGAAGUCUCACAGGUGCAGACUUGUGGGAAAGAUGGCUGUGGUCAGGAUAUUAAAAAUAAACAGUUCCAGUGGGAAGGAUAGUGACCUGGAAGCAGGGGUACAGAGCUGGGGCUUGUGAGGUGGCCGUGUCUGCCUUAGGCAGCUGCCACCAUACUGCAGCAGUCUGUUACAAAUGAGAUGCUCCUGUGAGCACUUGUGGCUGGAAAGGAAAGCCUAAUAGAAACUAAAAAAUGCAUGCUUUUAGUAAGAGACCACUCAGAGCAAGGAGGGAGAAUGAAACUGACGUAAGGUGUUUGCCUGCAGUGCUUCCCUUGGCCGCUCAGUCCUGUCAGCUGGAGCUUUGGGCUGGACCACUGGCAAACCGCUAGUGAGGCCUCCAUCAGCCUCGAGGCUUGUCCUUGUGCCACAGGCUGGCACCAGCUCCUCCCUGGGACUCCUCUCCCUGCCAUUGCCCUUUUCCCCAUCCAGGCUCUGCACCUCCCUGAGGAUGGGGCAGGUUUCUUCCUGCCCUUCUUUUAAAAGCAAAUGAUAAAUGGUGAAUGCACAAAGCUAAAUGUAGCUAGUAAGUGCCUUGGCGGCAGAUGCCUGCCUUCAGUCUCACCUCUGGGCUGGAAAAUGUGAAUUUAUUGUCACAGUAAUGCUGCUGAAAGUGUCCUGGUGGCAGAUAUGGGGGAAGAGUUUUGCAGGGCUAUUGUGUUUACUGGCUAGCUGGGGAGAAGUCUGUUUGCCUGAAAGCUGGUCUGUCAACCUGAAAGAACCAACCCCAGCAAGAACAAAUGUUCACCGCAGCUGUCUGUAGGGAAUGUUUCUCCUGCGAUGACCUUGGAAAACAGUGUAGAAGAAAUGGAUUAAUGUACGCUUUUUUCCCAGGCAGUAUUUUCCCAUUUGGCCUCUGCUGACAACUAUUAUCUGUAGAGUUCUGUUUCGCCUGCACGAGGUAAGAUCUGGAUGCUGAGGAGUGAGAGCAGCACAGUGGCUGUAUUUGCAAGACCUGGUGAAAAAGUGACUUAGAUGCAUCGUGGUCCCAGUGAAGUGAUUCCUUGGUUUCGUGGGGAGCUUCCUCAUGGUAUAUGAACCUCAUCUGAAGUGCUCCCAACUCUGCUGCUGUAAACUCAGUAGUACCAACUGAGAUGUGCUGGACUGGAGAGGAGCAAGCUCUGGAUGGAGCAGGCUGUGGGCAGUGCUGUGCAAGGUAAGGGAGAGAGGGAUUUUGUAAUCUUGUGGUGCGUAGGGGGCCCUGCUCCUGGUGAGGCUGGAUGCUUGGCCUGGGGUGGGUUUGAGUCUAGGGGUGGCAUUAGAGGGCGUUUCUGGCAGUUGAUGUUUGAAAGGUUUUGAGUGAUCUCCUUCACUGCAGUGCUUUCUCCAAGUUUUCAUCCAUGCUGAAGUGAUUUACACCAUUUCUGAGUUGUGGCUGUGCAACUGAAAGUUUUGUCUUGGAGUUGUUUUUCAUGUGUAAUUUGAACUUCUUCUAAUGAAGCAGGAGAAAGACUAUUUCCUAGUGAAAUGGGUCUUUGAUGGCUCAUGCGUCUUGUUCCUGCCUGCUUCACCAUGACCAAUAACUAUUUUGCUAAUAGUUGCAGCACAAGUGAUGUCUGGUUCUGGAUUAGCCUCAAGCCUUAGGACCAGAGAAAGAAGCGAUGGAGUGGGCAUAGAGGAUCACUUUUCUGGCUAAAUUAACCUAUGUGGCAGAAAUGCUAAGUCACAGCCUGAAGCAGUGAUUGUACACCUGGUGGGAAGGCAGGGCCAACCCAGGUGUG